RNAcentral lists this ribosomal RNA (303 nucleotides) under Triticum aestivum (bread wheat). RNAcentral's name for it is "partial small subunit ribosomal RNA". The record is from RNAcentral. Lineage: Eukaryota; Viridiplantae; Streptophyta; Magnoliopsida; Poales; Poaceae.
AUGGGGGAAAACCAAGGAAUUGAGAAAGUGCUUGAGAAACUAGCUCAACUUAUUACGACAAAGGUGAGCGACGCAUCACCUUCAGGCAAUGCGAUUAUCGCUCAGCCGGAGUCGAUUCAGAAAAUAGAAUUGAUGCCGAAUGAAAUCAAAUUGGAGGGCGUCAAAAAUUAUUUGAGCUGGUCAAGGAGGGCAUUGCUGAUCUUGAAAACAAAGGGACUUGAGAGCUUUGUUAAUGGAGAAGCACUUAGCCAUUGGACAAGAAAUGUGCAGAAUGGAGGACUUAGAGUACUACCAAUUCCCUGA